Molecule: ribosomal RNA, 483 nt
Filed under: uncultured bacterium
Lineage: Bacteria
Description: partial 16S ribosomal RNA
Rfam family: Bacterial small subunit ribosomal RNA
Source: RNAcentral
GACGAACGCUGGCGGCGUGCUUAACACAUGCAAGUCGAACGCUGAAGCUCAGCUUUUGUUGGGUGGAUGAGUGGCGAACGGGUGAGUAACACGUGAGUAACCUGCCCCCUUCUUUGGGGUAACGCCCGGAAACGGGUGCUAAUACUGGAUAUUCACUGUUCUUCGCCUUGGGGCUGGUGGAAAGGGCUUUUCUGGUGGGGGGUGGGCUCGCGGCCUAUCCGCUUGUUGGUGGGGUGAUGGCCUACCAAUGCUUUGACGGGUAGCCGGCCUGAGCGGGUGACCGGUCACAGUGGGACUGAGAUACGGCCCAGACUCCUACGGGGGGCAGCAGUGGGGAAGAUUGCACAAUGGGCGCAAGCCUGAUGCAGCGACGCCGCGUGAGGGAUGGAGGCCUUCGGGUUGUGAACCUCUUUCGCUCAUGGUCAAGCCGCAACAAUGGUUGUGGUGAGGGUAGUGGGUAAAGAAGCGCCGGCUAACUACGUG